Molecule: ribosomal RNA, 453 nt
Filed under: uncultured bacterium
Lineage: Bacteria
Description: partial 16S ribosomal RNA
Rfam family: Bacterial small subunit ribosomal RNA
Source: RNAcentral
AACGAACGCUGGCGGCAGGUUUUAGGCAUGCAAGUCGAACGGGUGUAGCAAUACAUCAGUGGUGCCCGAGUGAGUAACGCGUGGGAAUUUGCCCACCGGUGGGGAAUAACGUUUGGAAACGCACGCUAAUACCGCAUACGUCGAGAAAUCGAGGAAGAUUUAUCGCCGAUGGAUAAGCCAGCGUUGGAUUAGCUUGUUGGUAGGGUAAUGGCCUACCAAGGCGAUGAUCCAUAGCUGGUCUUAGAGGACGAUCAGCCACGCUGGGACUGAGACACGGCCCAGACUCCUACGGGAGGCAGCAGCUAAGAAUAUUGGACAAUGGAGGAAACUCUGAUCCAGCCAUGCCGCGUGAGUGAAGAAGGCCUUCGGGUUGCAAAGCUCUAUUAGUCGGGAGGAUGAUGACGGUAGCGACAGAAAAAGCACCGGCUAACUUCGUGCCAGCAGCCGCAGUAA